RNAcentral lists this ribosomal RNA (334 nucleotides) under uncultured Bacteroidia bacterium. Its description in RNAcentral is "partial 16S ribosomal RNA". It matches the Rfam family "Bacterial small subunit ribosomal RNA", at positions 541 to 877 of the family's 1533-position model. The record is from RNAcentral. Lineage: Bacteria; Pseudomonadati; Bacteroidota; Bacteroidia.
UUAUCCGGAUUUWUUGGGUUUAAAGGGKGSGUAGGCGGCACGUCAAGUCAGCGGUUAAAUGUCGGGGCUCAACCUCGGCCUGCCGUUGAAACUGAUGAGCUAGAGAGGAUGAGAWGUAUGCGGAAUGCGUGGUGUAGCGGUGAAAUGCAUAGAUAUCACGCAGAACUCCGAUUGCGAAGGCAGCAUGCCGGCAUCUAUCUGACGCUGAGGCACGAAAGCGUGGGGAUCGAACAGGAUUAGAUACCCUGGUAGUCCACGCWGAAUYUUUAAUGCUAGAUGUUCGAUAGGAUGACUAUKGAGUGUCACAGCGAAAGCGUUAAGCAUUCCACCYUGG